GCUCUUUAUUCACUUUGGCAGCACAUAUACUAAAAUUGGAGCAAUACAGAGAAGAUUAGCAUGGCCACUGUGCAAGGAUGACCCGCUCUUUAUUCAAGCUUAUAAAACUCAC
This is a small nuclear RNA of Sceloporus undulatus (fence lizard), 112 nucleotides long. The record is from RefSeq and is a predicted model, not a curated record. Lineage: Eukaryota; Metazoa; Chordata; Lepidosauria; Squamata; Phrynosomatidae.